Molecule: ribosomal RNA, 305 nt
Filed under: uncultured bacterium
Lineage: Bacteria
Description: bacterial SSU rRNA
Rfam family: Bacterial small subunit ribosomal RNA
Source: RNAcentral
GACAUCCUACGGGAGGCAGCAGUGGGGGAUAUUGCACAAUGGGGGAAACCCUGAUGCAGCGACGCCGCGUGAGUGAAGAAGUAUUUCGGUAUGUAAAGCUCUAUCAGCAGGGAAGAAAAUGACGGUACCUGAUUAAGAAGCCCCGGCUAACUACGUGCCAGCAGCCGCGGUAAUACGUAGGGGGCAAGCGUUAUCCGGAUUUACUGGGUGUAAAGGGAGCGUAGACGGCAGCACAAGUCUGGAGUGAAAUGCCAGAGCUUAACCCCGGAACUGCUUUGGAAACUGUGCAGCUAGAGUGCAGGAGA